CUCGUUUGUUGACUGCCUUUUGCCACCUCGACUACUUAAGAGAUGUCUGCUUGUAAAAAGUGUGAAUGUUGGCAGAAAUGAAGCUCCAAAUUCAUUAUUGGCAUGACAAUGAACGCAGACACACUGCCAGUGCAGUGCAAGGACACCUGAAUAGAAAAUUACACAGUGGAGUAAUAUCAGUCAUGGACUGACUUCACCUGGGGCCCAGACGUCAAUGUUUUUGAAGCAUUGUGGGAUCAUCUCGGCAGAGAAUGGAACAAAAAGCAGCCAACUUCCAAAGAAGAGCUUUGAAUGUCCCAGAGAACUAUUCCUGAAGACCACUGAAGAAAUUACAAGAAAACUUACCUAAAGGUGUUCAGGCUGUGUUGGAGAAUAAAGGUCCUGGCGUGCUGGUCAAAUAGGGGAGGCAUGAUCUGAUGAUCAUCUCCAGCUGCACUGGCCAGCCUUCCCUGGCACUGCCCCUUACUCACUCCCACAUCCUGACACGAUAUGAUUGAAACCAUUGCAGCCCAGUACCUUUAAUAACUAUGGCACGUUCUAAUCCCUGUAAUAAAAUAUUGUGGUCAACAGUAUUGAAUGCUGCAUUGAGGUCCAGCAGGACAUGCACAGUGAGUCCACUGUCAAAGGACAUAAAAAGAUCAUUUGUAGCCUUCAUUAGUAAUGUUUCAGUACCUUGAGGAGUUUUGAAAAUUCUUAAAACUCUUAAAUAAACUAGUCCUCUGCAGAUGAUCAGUUAGCUGUUUUACAACUACUCUUCCAAGAUUUUAGAUAAAAAGGAAGGUUGUACAUUGGCCUAUAAUUAGUUAAGACAUUUGGGUCAAGUGAUGACUUUUUAAAUAAUGGUUUAAUUACUGCUGCCUUAAAAGGCCUGUGGUACAGAGCCCAUUAUUAAAGAUAAAUUGAUCAUAUUUAAGAUUUAAGAUUUAAGCAUUAAUUGAAGCAUUAAUUAAUGAUGGGACUUUUUUGAGCAGUCUUGUAGGAAUGGGGUUUGAUAGACACACUGGGUAUUUGGAGGAAGUGAUUAUUGAAGUUAGCUUAGAAAGAUCA
Molecule: long non-coding RNA, 1047 nt
Organism: Oreochromis aureus
Lineage: Eukaryota; Metazoa; Chordata; Actinopteri; Cichliformes; Cichlidae
Exons: 3
Source: RefSeq, a predicted model, not a curated record